CUCAACCCAUCCGCCGGCCUCGGCCUCACAAAGUGCUAGGGUUACAGGCGCGAGCCACCGUGCCUGGCCACCUAAAGUCCAUAGUUGAUUCUGAUUGCCUUAGUUUUUGCUUAAUGUCCUUUUUCUGUUCCAGGAUACCACAUGGAGCAUUUUGAGGAGUGCUGGCCAGGUAUUUUGUAGAAUGUUCCUCAACUGGGAUUUGGCAGAUGCUUCUCAUCCUUAGUCUUGGCUUGUGUGUGUUUUGAGGAGGAGGACCACAGAGCUUAAGAAUCAUUCUCAGCACUCUGUAUCAGGCACGCAUUCUCUCAAGAUGACUUGCCGCUAUUGAAGUUGACUUUGAUCACCUGGCUGAGGAUCGACAUUUGUUCAAGAAGCCUGGUUCCUUUUACUGGAGAAUGGUGUUUAUUGGAGAACAGAGACCUGGGCACCAGAGGAGGAUCAGAGGACUUCUGUCCUGAGAUUGCCAGAAAAAUGAUGAACAGAAAAUUAUACACAACCGAACAGGCCCAACUUUCAAAUGGACUGAGAAUGACCCACACAAGUUCCACCGAGGCCAAGGGUGACCUGCAGCCAGCGACAGGGAAAGACUGCCACUUACUGGCGGCCUCCGGAACUGGAAGGAGUGUACUGACAAUUGUAUCUUUCGCAAGCUCUUAACCUUUAUACCGUCAAUAAAAACCCCAUUAACAUUUAAAAGGGAUGUUUCUGGGUGUCCACUUGGAAUAAGAGUUGG
Long non-coding RNA from Homo sapiens (human), 733 nucleotides. RefSeq lists it as uncharacterized. The record is from RefSeq and is a predicted model, not a curated record. The transcript has 3 exons. Lineage: Eukaryota; Metazoa; Chordata; Mammalia; Primates; Hominidae.